GGAGCCGCCCCGGCGCCCGGAACCCCCUGCGGUCCCGCGGCCCGGAACCAAGGCGCCCGCCGGAGGCCACAAACUCUUCUGUUUUUACAGUUUCUUCUGAGUGUGCCGCAAGGCAGUAUACAAAUGAAUCAAAACUUUCAACAACGGAUCUCUUGGUUCUGGCAUCGAUGAAGAACGCAGCGAAAUGCGAUAAGUAAUGUGAAUUGCAGAAUUCAGUGAAUCAUCGAAUCUUUGAACGCACAUUGCGCCCGUCAGAAUUCUGGCGGGCAUGCCUGUUCGAGCGUCAUUUCAACCCUCGAGCUCCCCUUUCGGGGGGAGCCCGGCGUUGGGGACCCGGCGCUAACAACGCCGGCCCCGAAAUGGAGUGGCGGCCCGUCCGCGGCGACCUCUGCGUAGUAACAACCACUCGCACCGGGACCCGGGCGCGGCCACGCCGUAAAACACCCCACCUUCCGAAUGUUGACCUCGAAUCAGGUAGGAAUACCCGCUGAACUUAA
Molecule: ribosomal RNA, 497 nt
Filed under: uncultured fungus
Lineage: Eukaryota; Fungi
Description: eukaryotic LSU rRNA
Rfam family: 5.8S ribosomal RNA (bases 133-286)
Source: RNAcentral